UACAGGCAUGAGCCACCGCGCCCAGCCAAGAUCCAGCAUUUUUGAGACUUGAACCUUUCUUUCUCUGACUGACAUGUAUUGUAGAGCUCAAAAUAAAGGUUCUGUAUUUUGGGAGUUGGUCAUCACUCUCUAGUUCUGCUCCUAUAGAGCUAUUACUGAACCUCUGGCCUCUUCCCUGGGUUCUGGAAACCUUCAGGUACCUGUGGCCCCCAGAACAAUGGGCAGGAGACAGGAAGGCUGCUGGUGCCCCGAUGGCCCCACACAAGGCCGGGACCUCGGGACACAGGCACUGCAUCAUUCACUGUUUCCCUGCAUGGGCUUCAGGAGUGGAUGACAGCCCAGGGCCAAGCCCCUUCCUCUUUUGUUCUGCCCAAGCCCCUUCCCUCCAGCUGGUUUCCUUCCUUGAGUCCCUUGAUUCCUCUGUGAUCCCUUCUCCAGCUCAGCACCUGGGGCUGGCACCACUCCCCAGGGAUCCUGAUAAAGUCACAGAGCAUCUGCCCAGCGCCUGAGGUGGUGUAAGUUGGGGAAAGUGGGUCAUCCUGUUAGUCGCUCCUGCCAGGCCUGGAGCCCCUGGUGGUCCUUUUGAAUUCUAGAUUCUCUAGGUUCCUUUCUCCAGAAUCCUUCCCUUCUUGCUCCACUCAUGCUCUCGGCCAGGCCUACCAUGUCUCCUGGCAGCCGACUAUCUCAUACCACCUGCCUUUGUUCUCUAUUCCCUUUGCCAAAACCAUAUUUUCUGGUGAAUCCCUCCUCUACUUCAAGGUUCAGCUCAAGUGCCACCAUAUAAGUGAAGCUGUCCUCAGUCUCCCCUAGGCGACUCUGUGGCCCCAUGGAACUUUUUCUCAUCACCAUCAUAGCAGUCAUGACUCUGUUUUGACCUCCACUUCUCCACUGGAGAGUGUGUUCCAUGGAAUGAACUGGCUUGUAGUGUGACCUGUGAACCUCCAGAGCUUGGCUCUGUGUUGCUCACUGAGUACUUGUUCUUGCAGUGGGCACUCACCAAGAGAGGCCCCUGUUCUGGGAUGUGAGCCAGAGAAGGUCCCAGACUCGUAACUGCAUGUGUCAUACUCGCCCUCCACCCAGCUCCCCCUGGCCAGAUCACAGCCCCCUCCUGCUGCAGGGCCUGUAGUGCCAGGCUGGUUGCAAGACAGGGGGUCCCAGGCCGGUCGAGGUGGCUCACGCUUGUAAUCCCAGCACUUUGGGAGGCCGAGGCGGGCGGAUCACGAGGUCAGGAGAUCGAGACCAUCCUGGCUAACACGGUGAAACCCCGUCUCUACUAAAAAAUACAAAAAAUUAGCCGGGUAUGGUGGCAGGCGCCUGUAGUCCCAGCUACUCGGGAGGCUGAGGCAGGAGAAUGGAGUGAACCCAGGAGGUGGAGCUUGCAGUGAGCCGAGAUUGCGCCACUGCACUCCAGCCUGGGCGACAGAGCGAGACUCCGUCUUAAAAAAAAAAAAAAAAAAAAGACGGGGUCCUCACCUCUGAGAAAAUCAUGGCUUGGCCCAUUGGCACCCCAUUUGGGAUGCAGAAUGGAGCAACAACAGCUGGCUGGUGUCUGAACGCUAUUUCCCCAGCCCUGGGCAGCCAUCUCCUGUAGCUGUUCCCUCAUCCCAUGGCUUUACCAACCCCCCUUGCUGCACUGGAGGGCCUGGAGAGCAAGUAGGUUCAGAGUGGGAAGACAGGGCUAAAGGCAUCUUCCCAGUCUUCUCUCCUUCCCCUUCCUCCCAGCAGUUGUAGCUGUGCUGCGUGAUGAUGUGGAACAGAGCACAGUCUUAAUUAACUGCUCAGCCCUGCUCAUUAGUGCCUCUGGAAGCCCAAGAAGCCAGAGUUAGGAAGCCUCAAUCACAGUGAAGACCCCGGCUGCAGGCCUCCUGGGUGAUCGCUAGUCCUGUGUCUCCUGAAUUGUGUCUGUGUGACUUGGGACCCCUUUGGGGGACUCCAGCAGAAGACACUCCCCCCAACCCUGAGGCUGGGGAAGGGCUAAAGCUGGAGGGAGUCACUGCUGGAUUAAGGGAGUCGCUGCUGGAUUAACCUACCUCAUGGGCAGCUCUGAUCAAAUACCUAUGUUUCUCUUGCUGACAGCAUAGAGCCUGGAGUCCUUGGCUUAGCAGUCAAGCUCCUCCACAAUCUGGUCCCACAGGACUUUCCCAACCUAAUUUCCUCCUUCCAUCCUAGCAGACAAGGAGGGAAGGCAAAGGCUAGGCCCCCUCGUGGGCUCCCACUGGUGUGUGCAGAGCAUUUCAGGGACAGCAUAUGGUGGAACAUGUGAAACUCCACUGCAAUCAGAGAAAGAUGAACGAAUGAUUAAAUAAACCACAUGUGCUCAAAUCUCGCACACUGAUGACUUCCCUGCUUUUGGAGGGACUUAGCAAGGAGCCUGGUGUGUUGUUCAGCAUGCACUAUUUUUUUUUUUUUUUUUUUUUUUUUUGGUUGUGAAAAGGAAUAAAGAACCAUGAAGUGCCUGAAGACUGAACGAAAGGAAGCUGAGUGGAGGAGGAGAGAAGGGGCGGGCCCUAAAAACUAUAAAUCUAUAGGCCCAAUUUCAGUAUGUGGAAAAACUCCUUCAAAAUAUCAAUUUGUAAACACCCUAGAUCAAAUGAGAUAAUGCUCAUGAAAGCACUUCUUGAACUGCAAAGGGUUAGAAAUAUAAAGCAUUAUUCUGUAAUAUUUCUGUUCAGUGCAGACUUUAAAACAGAUGCUAUGGGGAGGCUGGAGAUUUAUGAUAAUGGCUCAUCACCUGAGGUGCUCAUACAAUUUGGGCUGUUUCAUUUAAUUAGUCAUUGCCUCUCAUGUAGACUACUGCAGAAGCCUCCUAAGUGGCCUCCCCACCUCUGCAUUCUCCCCCAUCCCAUUCAUCUUAUAUGCCACCGUCACGUUAAUCUUCCUGAUGCACAGCUCUGAUCAAAUACCUGUAAUAAUUCUCCUGCUGACUGCACAGAGCCUGGAGUCACUGGCUUAGCAGUCAAGACCCUCCACAGUCUGGUCCCCCAGGACUUUCCCAAACUGAUUUCCUUCCUUCCAUCAUGGCAGGCAUGGGCUUGGGAAGAUCAAGUCACUAAACCCAAGACCACACAGAUACCAAGAGGCAGAUCAUACAGCCAAGCCUUCAGACCCCGACAUCUGACUCCAAGACCAUUCUGAGCCCAUCACUUCCUCACUUUGAUGGUGCAAUGGAUUGUGUGUUUGUGACCCUCUAAAAUAUACAUGUUGAAACACUGAUCCUGAUGUGAUGGUAUAUGGAGAUGGAACUUUGGGGAGGUAAUUAGGUCAUGAGAGUGGACCCUUUAUCAAUGGGAUUAGUGCCCUUACAAAAAGGGGCCAGAGACCUAGCUAGUUCUCUUCUGCCAUGUGAGGAUACAAUGAUAAGUGGACAGUUGGUGAUAUGGUUUGGCUAUGUCCCAACCCAAGUCUCAUCUUGAACUGUAGUUCCCACAAUCCCCACGUGUGGUGGGAAGGACCCAGUGGGAGGUAAUUGAAUCAUGGGGGCAGUUUCCCCCAUGCCAUUCUUGUGAUAGUAACGUGAGCCAAGAUCUGAUGGUUUUAGAAGGGGCUUCCCCCUUCGAUCGGCUCUCAUUCUUCUCCUUCCUGCCACCCUGUGAAGAACAUAUUUGCUUCCCCUUCUGCCAUGAAUGCAAGUUUCCUGAGGCCUCCCCAGCCAUGCCAAACCGUGAGCCAAUUAAACCUCUUUCCUUUAUAAAUUACCCAGUCUCCGGUAUGUUCUUAUAGCAGUGUGAGAAUGGACUAAUACAGUUGGAGACCCAGAAGAGGGCUUUCUCCCAGAACUGGACCCUGCUGGCCCCCAAGUCUCAGACUCCAACCUUGGAACUGUGAGAAAUAAACCUGACUAAGGUUAGACCUGACUAAGACAAAUGGAUACUGCUGCAGUGAUCUUUCCACAGAGAGCUUUUUCUCUUCUUUGCAAAAAUUUCCUUAGGACAAAUUCCCAGGAGUGGGAUUCCCAGGUCAAAAGUCAUUAAUAUUUUAAAUGGCUGUGUGAAUUGACAUAACGCUUCACAAAAGAACUGGGCUGAUUUAUUUUUUAGCCAAUGAUGUAGAUAUACACAAGUUUCACCAGCCCCUCUUGGGAUCUUAGCCAUUCUAAUGCCUGCUUUCUAACGGCGUAGUUAGAAUGUAUUGUAAAAGUUAUUUGAUUUGUUCAUGUGUUAUUCAGGGAUUGCUCUCAUCUCCAAGUCUUUGCUCAAAUAUUCUUGGUGUGGUCUACCCCAACUACUCUAUUUCAAAUGAAAACACUCCCUCCUCCUACACCCGUUACUCUCCUUACUCUGCUGUUUUUCCACAUUAUUUGGCAUCUUAUAAUACAUACUUUUCUCAUUUAUUAUGUAUAUCCUUUUUUUAAAAACAUGCUGAAAACUCUUUAUAACAAUGCAGGACAAUGGCCAGGCACAGUGGCUCACGCCUGUAAUCUCAGCACUUUGGGAGGCUGAGGUGGGUGGAUUACAAGGUCAGCAGUUCGAGACCAGCCUGGUCAAUAUGGUGAAACCCCGUCUCUACUAAAAAUACAAAAAUUAGCCGGGCAUGGUGGUGCGCGCCUGUAGUCCCAGCUACUCCUACUGAGGCAGGAGAAUCGCGUGAACCCAGGAGGCAAAGGUUGCAGUGAGCUGAGAUCACACCACUGCACUCCAGCCUGGGCAACAGAGGGAAAAUCCAUCUCAAAAUAAGUAAAUAAAUAAAAUAAUAAUAAUGCAGGACAAUUAUGUAUAGCAAACACUUUCAAAAUUUAAACUCCUUCAACAUUUAAUUCUUCAGCAUUAUGUAGACUUUUAAUUGUACAUCUCCCCCCGACCCUGACCCCAACUAGAAUGUAAGUUCCAUUUUGUCUAUUAAUUUACUGAUGUGUUCCCAAUACUAAAACAGAGCCUGGGGCAUAGCAAGAUCAUGAGGGUCAAACAAGAUAAUGCCUGUACGUAGCCUGCGGUGGGCAGCACCUGGUACAGAGCUCAUGAUGAACCAGUAUCCUCUUCCUCUUACGUGUCCACCAACAGGAGAAUAGAAAUUACGAUAUAUAAUAUUAUAAAUUGGCCAGGUGCGAUGGCUCAUGCCUGUAAUCCCAACACUUUGAGAGGCUGAGGCAGGAGGAAUGCUUGAACACAGGAGUUUGAGACCAGCCUGGGCAACAUGGUGAAACCCCCCCCCCCAUAAAAAAUACAAAAAAAUUAGCCAGGCCUGGUGGCACGUGCCAGCCUGAGGUGGGAGGAUCAACUGAACCCGGGAGGUCGAGGCUGCAGUGAGCUGUGAUCAUGCCACUGCAUUCCAGCCUGGGUGACAGAGUAAGACUCUCAAAAAAAAAAAAAAAAAAAAAAAAAACAAACAAAUUCAAGUAAAACAAUUAAAUUAUAACUCAUUAAAAUGAUAAUUACAAAGAAUAUGCAGCAGUAUGGAAAACAGUUUAUAACUAAUGUUAAGUGAAAAAAGCAGACUACAAAUUUGUCCACGAUUACAACUGGGUAAAAAUAAUUUAAGAGCUAUACAAAAAUAAGGAGACAAGAUGAUGGGCUCAUGGUGAGCAGCUGUUAAGCACGGAUGAAAAUUGAUGUGCCCAGAAGCAGAUUCUCUUUGAAGCAUCUUUUUUCAUACUACCUGAUAAGCAUCUUGCUACAUGGCAGUAGCAGCAGUAAGAUGGGUGGUAUCAAAGAGAACUAUCUGCAAAUAUUUAUCUUCAAUCCAAAAUGGAGCCUUAUGUUUGUCAUAAAUCUACAUACUCUUCUUUUCCAGGUGACUACAAUUGCAAAGUAGACUUUGCUUUGACAUCUGAUGCCAGGACAAUAGUAUGUUACCAUCCUUCUGUAGACAUUCCAUAUGAAUGCACAAAACCUAUCCCUUGACCAGAUCCUGUGUAUAAUAAUGAAGAAACACAUGUUCAAGUGCUGAAAACUAGAGAAGAAAAAAGUGAACACCUUGAGCGAGAACCCAUAAUAGAACAACUUAGCAAAAUGUUCUUUAUACUAAGUAUGGUUGGCAUCUUCGUGGACAUUAGCACAGAUGUCAGAAGAAACUGGAUCCUCCAGAAGACAGAUGAUAUUGAGGUUCUUGGGGAAUUAAAGAGAAAUAUUACCCUCUGCCUCAUUUGCCAUUGGAGAAAGUGCAAUCUGGUGUAUGCACUAAUAAUAAUAAUAACAUGUCUUUUCAUAUUUAAAAAAGAAACCACAAAAUCUUUAGGAGGCUGAGGUGGGUGGAUUGCUUGAGUCAGGAGUUUGAGAGCAGCUUGAGCAACAUAGACCCCAUCUCUAAAAAAAUUAGCCAAGUGUGGUGAUGUGUGUCUGUGGUGCAACUACUUGGAAGGCUGAGGUAGGAGGAUUGCUUGAGCUCAGGAGGUUGAGGCUGCAGUGAGCAGUGAUCAUGCCUCUGCAUUCCAGCCUUGGUGACAGAGCAAGACCCUGUCUCAACAACAACAACAAAAAUCAAAAUCUAUGCAAAAUUUAAACCCAAUCUUGCGCUAGUCUUGUGGGAAUGAAGAUUAAUUUACCUAAAAAUGCUCCUCUGGUUUUUGUAAUUCUUUUUGUUACUUUUUAAAAAUAUAAAUUUGGCCAGGCA
Molecule: RNA transcript, 6546 nt
Organism: Symphalangus syndactylus (siamang)
Lineage: Eukaryota; Metazoa; Chordata; Mammalia; Primates; Hylobatidae
Gene name: large ribosomal subunit protein mL42-like
Source: RefSeq, a predicted model, not a curated record